Molecule: small nuclear RNA, 101 nt
Filed under: Zalophus californianus (California sea lion)
Lineage: Eukaryota; Metazoa; Chordata; Mammalia; Carnivora; Otariidae
Source: RNAcentral
GCGCUUCAGCAGCACAUAUACUAAAAUUGUAACGACAGCAAAGAUCAGCAUGGCCCCCGUGCAAGGACAACAUGCAAAUUCGUGAAGCGUUCCAUAUUUUA